AUGAACAUCGAACAAGGCAGAAACUGCACUAUCAAGCUACCAACUAAGCUAGUACUUGCCAAUAGACUGCAGGCGGUCAUAAUGGAGCUUGUUUGUAUUAAUCAGUAUAUGGCUGGCUUUAUUAAAUCCAGGGCCAUUCAGGACUGCAUUGCUUGGGCUUAUGGGUAUCUUUUCCAAUGUCACAAAGCAAGCUGCCUACUGUUGUACUUAAAAAUUGACUUUGAAAAAGCUUUUGACGAGCUUGAACAUGGAAUGAUCUUAGCUAUUUUGAGCGAGAAGGGGUUUGGUACCAAUUGGUGUUCAUGGAUAGAACAAAGUUUAUCUAUAGCUACAUGGUGUUGGAAUUAUGUGUCCGGCAACUAUAUUCAAAUUGCUUGGAAUUGUUAA
This 387-nucleotide ribosomal RNA is filed under the name Triticum aestivum (bread wheat). Its description in RNAcentral is "partial small subunit ribosomal RNA". Lineage: Eukaryota; Viridiplantae; Streptophyta; Magnoliopsida; Poales; Poaceae. The record is from RNAcentral.